This 564-nucleotide ribosomal RNA is filed under the name Xylariales sp. OTU73 TS-2013. RNAcentral describes it as "eukaryotic LSU rRNA". It matches the Rfam family "Eukaryotic large subunit ribosomal RNA", at positions 62 to 648 of the family's 3401-position model. Lineage: Eukaryota; Fungi; Ascomycota; Sordariomycetes; Xylariales. The record is from RNAcentral.
AAACCAACAGGGAUUGCCCUAGUAACGGCGAGUGAAGCGGCAACAGCUCAAAUUUGAAAUCUGGCGCUUGCGUCCGAGUUGUAAUUUGUAGAGGAUGCUUUUGGCGCGGUGCCUUCCGAGUUCCCUGGAACGGGACGCCAUAGAGGGUGAGAGCCCCGUACGGUUGGACACUAAGCCUCUGUAAAGCUCCUUCGACGAGUCGAGUAGUUUGGGAAUGCUGCUCUAAAUGGGAGGUAAAUUUCUUCUAAAGCUAAAUACCGGCCAGAGACCGAUAGCGCACAAGUAGAGUGAUCGAAAGAUGAAAAGCACUUUGAAAAGAGGGUUAAAUAGCACGUGAAAUUGUUAAAAGGGAAGGGUUUAUGACCAGACUUGUGCCUGGCGGAUCAUCCGGUGUUCUCACCGGUGCACUUCGCCUGGUUCAGGCCAGCAUCGGUUUCUGUAGGGGGAUAAAGGCUCUGGGAAUGUGGCUCCCUCCGGGGAGUGUUAUAGCCCGCUGCGUAAUACCCUUUACGGGGACCGAGGUUCGCGCUUCUGCAAGAUGCUGGCGUAAUGGUCAUUAACCAC